RNAcentral lists this transfer RNA (87 nucleotides) under bacterium. RNAcentral's name for it is "tRNA-Leu". It matches the Rfam family "tRNA". From Rfam's summary of the family: Transfer RNA (tRNA) molecules are approximately 80 nucleotides in length. The record is from RNAcentral.
GCCGCGGUGGUGGAAUUGGUUUACACGUACGAUUCAAAAUCGUAUGACCGCAAGGUCGUGUGGGUUCGACUCCCACCCGCGGCACCA